Non-coding RNA from Aedes albopictus (Asian tiger mosquito), 72 nucleotides. The record is from Rfam. Lineage: Eukaryota; Metazoa; Arthropoda; Insecta; Diptera; Culicidae.
GGCUCGGUAGCUUAGUUGGAAAAGCACUUGUCUAGCGUACAAGGGUCGUGAGUUCAAAUCUCACCUGAGCUG